GAUUUCUGACGGAGGCUUGGUGCUCGCUUCCGCAAGGAAGUGCGGUGCCGCUGUCUGCGUCAUCCUUCUAGAUGACGCGUGUGCUAGGUUUACUCCUGGUGCGCGCGGCUGUCUAGAUCUUUUACUUUGAAGAAAUUAGAGUGUUCAAAGCAGGCAUACCGCUUUGCAUACAUUAGCAUGGAAUAAUAAUCUAGGACUUCGGUUCUAUUUUGUUGGUUUCUAUAACUGAAGUAAUGAUUGAUAGGGAUAGUUGGGGGUGCUAGUAUUGGCCGGCCAGAGGUGAAAUUCUUGGAUUCGGUCAAGACUAACUUAUGCGAAAGCAUU
Molecule: ribosomal RNA, 324 nt
Filed under: Spongomonas sp.
Lineage: Eukaryota; Cercozoa; Imbricatea; Spongomonadida; Spongomonadidae
Description: SSU rRNA
Rfam family: Eukaryotic small subunit ribosomal RNA (bases 110-324)
Source: RNAcentral